RNAcentral lists this ribosomal RNA (252 nucleotides) under uncultured bacterium. Its description in RNAcentral is "partial 16S ribosomal RNA". It matches the Rfam family "Bacterial small subunit ribosomal RNA", at positions 525 to 776 of the family's 1533-position model. The record is from RNAcentral.
ACGGGGGGGGCAAGCGUUGUUCGGAAUUACUGGGCGUAAAGGGCUCGUAGGUGGCCAACUAAGUCAGACGUGAAAUCCCUCGGCUUAACCGGGGAACUGCGUCUGAUACUGGAUGGCUUGAGUUUGGGAGAGGGACGCGGAAUUCCAGGUGUAGCGGUGAAAUGCGUAGAUAUCUGGAGGAACACCGGUGGCGAAGGCGGCGUCCUGGACCAACACUGACACUGAGGAGCGAAAGCCAGGGGAGCAAACGGG